UAUGAGCGCCAAAAAUAUCAUCUCUCAAUACCUCGUCCGGUAUGAGGGUGAAACGAGUCGUCCCCAUACCCUGUCUGACAUGAGCGCCAAAAUACCAAUCCUCGAUACCCCGUCCGGUAUGAGGCAACAUUCACAGUAGGAUUCCCUAUGUACCUAGUCCGUCCACCAUCUCCCAAAAUAUCCAGUAAGGCUACCAUUUAUUCAUUCACUUAAUCAAGCAAUUCCCCAU
Molecule: long non-coding RNA, 229 nt
Filed under: Carica papaya (papaya)
Lineage: Eukaryota; Viridiplantae; Streptophyta; Magnoliopsida; Brassicales; Caricaceae
Description: long non-coding RNA (CPAP_LNC008712)
Source: RNAcentral